UCAAAAACGAUGAAGAGAAAAAGUAAGAUAUAUCUAUUUUUUACAGAAAGCUUCGGUAGCUGAGAAGAAGCAAAAAUAAGUAUCCGAAAAAUGGCCUCUGAGUUUCCUGCUGAACGUAUUGUAAAAUAUUAUUAGGCUUCGACGAGUUUUGGUCCUCGUUAUCAAGACCACAGUAUAAAGGGGACAUAAUGUCACUCUCGUACUUGAUGAGGCUGUUUUGUGUGAGCAAGCAGUAAAGUAAGGUGGUACCACGUGAUGACAACACGUCCUUAUC
This 274-nucleotide non-coding RNA is filed under the name Bacillus sp. (in: firmicutes). RNAcentral describes it as "Bacillus sp. T-box sequence". It matches the Rfam family "T-box leader". Rfam says of the family: Uncharged tRNA acts as the effector for transcription antitermination of genes in the T-box leader family. T-boxes are found upstream of many aminoacyl-tRNA synthetase genes and some amino acid biosynthetic genes usually in Gram-positive bacteria. The anticodon of a specific tRNA base pairs to a specifier sequence within the T-box motif, and the NCCA acceptor tail of the tRNA base pairs to a conserved bulge in the T-box antiterminator hairpin. Lineage: Bacteria; Bacillati; Bacillota; Bacilli; Caryophanales; Bacillaceae. The record is from RNAcentral.